RNAcentral lists this transfer RNA (66 nucleotides) under Eunectes notaeus (yellow anaconda). RNAcentral's name for it is "transfer RNA-Ile". Lineage: Eukaryota; Metazoa; Chordata; Lepidosauria; Squamata; Boidae. The record is from RNAcentral.
GGAAAUGUGCCCGAGACCAGGGACUACAUUGAUAGCGUAGCUACAGGAUUACACCCCUCAUUUCCU